CCAGUCUAGACUUUGUGAUCCUCUAAAGAUACGAUCCCCUCAACAUUCCUCUUCCUGCAUGUAUUCUCCUUGAUCUAGAGCUUCAUACCUGCAAACAGCCAUUACAUGUGCUGCGGCCUUUCUUUCUGCUAUACUUUCUAUAAUACUCUGCAUAGACCUAAUUACCAAAGGAAUCAGACAUGGCAGAAGGAGACACAACAUCAAAAUCAGUAUGACUCCACCUACCAAUGUCUUGAUACCUCCAAACUGCUCAUACCAGCUACCAAACCAACUACUCGGAUUAUACCCUUUUUCCAUACCUGAGUAGGUACAUGUGCUAGCUUAACCAUAUGGCUAGUAAGCUCAGCUAUUGCUUGCCCUUCAUCAUCUAUUUGAAGACAACAAUUGCUUAGAUUAAACUUCCCACAUCCACCUCCCUCUACUGCCAAUAGGUAAUCCAAAGCUAAUCUAUUCUGGUAGAUGGCUGUCCUCGUCCUAGUGUUAUGCUUCGCUAGGAGAUUGAGCGCUUGUGAUGUUUCAUUGGUAACUAUCUCAACUACUGCUUGCAAUCUUAUAAUACGAUUAAGCAUAUAUAUUGGGGUUCUGUAUCCAUAAGUACCAUCCUCUGCCCACGUAGC
This is a non-coding RNA of Pelobates cultripes (western spadefoot toad), 617 nucleotides long. NCBI's taxonomy places the organism in Eukaryota, Metazoa, Chordata, Amphibia, Anura, Pelobatidae. The record is from the annotation of a GenBank genome assembly.